This 21-nucleotide microRNA is filed under the name Ectocarpus siliculosus. Its description in RNAcentral is "esi-miR3466-5p". Lineage: Eukaryota; Phaeophyceae; Ectocarpales; Ectocarpaceae. The record is from miRBase by way of RNAcentral.
UUCCGGAGGACUACCAUCACA